Molecule: long non-coding RNA, 1989 nt
Organism: Catharus ustulatus (Swainson's thrush)
Lineage: Eukaryota; Metazoa; Chordata; Aves; Passeriformes; Turdidae
Exons: 2
Source: RefSeq, a predicted model, not a curated record
UGGACUUUAUCCCCCCCCACCGCUGCCUCCUCGAUUAGCAGCUCGCAGCUUCCCGAGGUCAGCUCUCCUCAGAUUUGAACUCAGAUUUUUCUGUAUUGAUCCUUCUGAACAAGAAAUACCAUCUCCUAAAACGUCUCUGGCUCUCUGGAAUUCAACCUACUUCUGAACUGGCAGGACAACUAUUCAUCAGGACCAGCUGAAACAUUAAUGCUACCUCCACAGUGAAAGCCUAAAAGGAGUAGUUAAUAGCAAUCAUACCCAGAGCUAGUAUAAUAGUCAAGCUAUAAGGUACAGGAAUAAGAUCAAGGAAUUCCAGCAGAUCUGCUUAAAUCCUGUAAAUCCGACUUAGGAGGGUAGAACAGCUAGUCAGCUUUUGUUUAAUUCUUUCCUCACCACGCGAUCACAUACAGGUUUCUGCAGCAGUGUUCUUAACCAGUGUGCUCAACACCAGACCCGAGUUUUCUUUACCUCCCAGCAACAGCAUGAUGGGGUGGUACACGUCCCAACUCAGAAAGAACAGUGUUGUUCCCUGUGGGUACACACAUGAAUUGUUAAUGGAGCAUGUCAAUAUGAGCAUGUCACAGAAUGCAUUUAAACACCCAAUAUCUUAAUGGUGAGACACAGGAAAAUGGCCAGCAGCUGAAAUUGCCAAGGACAAUCAGUAACUGGAGGGUUUUUGUUAUGUCAAAAUAAGCAAAAUAAUUGCUCAAGUACUUGUAAAGCCUGGGUGCACCUGAAAUUCUCUCAAUAAAUAAAGAAUUGGAAAACCUUAGCACAGUAAUGUCAAGCUUAGAGUAGACAUAAAAGGUUGGACAAAACCCCAAACAACUGAAUUUGUGAAGCUCACCAUGCAGCACUAUCAAGCAAAUAUAGCUGUUCAGAUUAGUGGGAGCUAUGCAAAUUUUCAAAAGUAAAAAUAGAAAAAGGUAUUAAGUGUCUCUGUUACAGCCUCUUAUGUAAGACUGCUCUUUGCAGAUAUUCAGCACAGGUGCUAUCUUAAGAGAUGCAUAACUACAUCUAUUCCAAGUUUUAAUAUGAAGAAAAAUCAUCAUCAACAGAGGUGAAUCAGUUCCUCACUCCAAAUCUAUCUUGUAUCCUCCAGAAACGAAGGAACAGCAAGUAGCAUUCCUUUCCAUAGUGUCUUCUGGACAGAAAAUGCAAAAUGUCACAGAACCAAAGUUUUCCCAAACUCAGAUGUGGAUAUUGUGUCCUUAUUGACCCCAAGUCCUCUGAAAGACUCAAUUAUGCCCUAAUAGCAACAAAAGAAUAAGCUGCCCUGUGGAUAAUCCACUAAUGAGCCACUGUAAUUAACAGCUAAGCGAACAUUGCUUCAGUAACUUGAAAGCCUUCACCUGACCAAAAUUUUUGUGGUGAACAGGUAUCAGCCUGGGGCUCCAAAGGACUCUACUCCAGCAAACUCCACAGCCAUCCAUGGGUAAUUACACAGUAUGCGUGUGCCUGCCUCCCCUCUUAUUCUGCUUUUUCUACACACCCAAAAAAAUUACUGAUAUAAAUGGUUAUAACAUUAGUUGUCCAAGACACUGCAUUUUCCCCACCAAGUAGGUACUGUCCCUAGAACCUGCCUGUAGUUUUGUGGUACUGUAGUGGAAACUGUCCUCACUUCCCCAAUCAAAACUAAAAAUUAAUUACAUUAUUUCAAAUAUCAGUCCAUGCUUGAACUUUUUAGUAUUUUUACCAAAAAACAAUGAAACAUUUUGUUGUAGAUGAGUUGCCCAAGUCAAACAUCAGCCUUGCUUUAUUACAGUACAGACAAAAUAAUCCAAUUUAUGUGGCACCAUACCUGUCUCGCGUGCAAAUCGGGGGGUAUAAAUCACAAACUUCCAUGUUAAAGUUAUAUUAGAUACUUACCAAUGUAUUAUGUAUUAACAAGGUGUUUAGCUGGAGAUUUUUUCUAAAUUCUAGAGCCUCUUCUUACAGCAGUGGAAAUUAAAAAACUUUCAAGAGGUACCAGAUUGUGUAUACACCCAU